Molecule: ribosomal RNA, 406 nt
Filed under: uncultured bacterium
Lineage: Bacteria
Description: partial 16S ribosomal RNA
Rfam family: Bacterial small subunit ribosomal RNA
Source: RNAcentral
AUUGAACGCUGGCGGCAGGCUUAACACAUGCAAGUCGAACGAGUGGCGGACGGGUGAGUAAUGUCUGGGAAACUGCCUGAUGGAGGGGGAUAACUACUGGAAACGGUAGCUAAUACCGCAUACCAUCGGAUGUGCCCAGAUGGGAUUAGCUAGUAGGUGGGGUAAUGGCUCACCUAGGCGACGAUCCCUAGCUGUUCUGCGAGGAUGACCAGCCACACUGGAACUGAGACACUGUCCAGACUCCUACGGUAGGCAGCAGUGGGUAAUAUUGCACAAGGGGCGCAAGCCUGAUGCAGCCAUGCCGCGUGUGUGAAGAAGGCCUCCGGGUUGUAAAGUACUUUCAGCGGGGAGGCGUUACCCGCAGAAGAAGCACCGGCUAACUCCGUGCCAGCAGCCGCGGUAAUAC